Molecule: ribosomal RNA, 75 nt
Filed under: uncultured Cortinarius
Lineage: Eukaryota; Fungi; Basidiomycota; Agaricomycetes; Agaricales; Cortinariaceae
Description: partial 28S ribosomal RNA
Source: RNAcentral
GUGACCUCCAAUCAGGUAGGACUACCGCUGACUUAGCAUAUCAAUAAGCGGAGGAAAGAACUACAGGAUCCCUAG